GAAACCAGAAAGUAAGUUGAGGCUCUUGUUUGGGGUCUGUCAAAGCAAGCUACAGUACGCAGAGAAACCUGUCCCCCAAGAUCCUGGAGAACAAAGUGGUGAACAAAAAAACAAUAAUGCCUUUAAACACAAGGUGAAACAGUUCUGUUCAUAUGUACAAGCACAGUUCGUGCUUCUUCAGGAAUGUUCUGCUAAGUACAGUUCUGGAAUAAAGGCUGUUAGGAAAGAUGAGAAGCAGCUGUACUGAAGAAGUCCCGACAGCACAAAGAAAUGCAGUAAAAGAAGACUCAGUAUGACCUCAGUGUUCGAAUAUCGCAACUGUGGAAGUCUGGUCUUACAGAAACUAUAAAGCUAUGGGGAUUGACUAGAAGGUGAAAAGAGUCUUGCAAAUCAGUGGAGAGAUCCUCGUCUUGGAAAAUGUAGUCAGAUAAGUGGAACAAUUUUAAAAAAAUAUAAUUAAUUACAGUGAUUACAGUUGAUGGGAAUUGUAACCAGAGAUAAUGCUUUACCUUGGCUGUUGUGCAAGCAUAUAUAAAGUACAGCUAAAAGUAAAAAGAAACAUUGAAUACAAGAUGAUCUCUAUGUACAUGUAAAUAAAACACUAAGCAAAAUCAACUCUGAAACUGAGAUCAUCCACAUUGCCACUGCCCAGAUAACAAAUGUUCUGUCACAGCCUUCUUGCCUAAAAUCCCCAGACAGACUGGAACAGGAUUAGUGGGAUCACAACUGGUUAUCCUUCUCUAAUCCAUCCCAGCCAGGAGAUCUGUCUUUCUAUCUCCUGUUCUGUUACACGACUGCCAAUGAAAUCCUGAGGGCUAAGGCCACUUAAAGCCACUAAGCCCACAGUAGUGACCUAAGUGUCACUUUUCAACCACCAGUUAUCUGUGUAUUUCAAAAUCUGUUCUGUUGCUUAGGAGAGUUUUCGUAUGAAAUCAGUUUAUUUGCUGUUUUUUAUUGAUCAUGUCUGCACUUUUCCUGAGGUCAAACUCUGGUUUUACUCCUGCUUACUUGGUCUGGAUGAUAAUUUAUCUACAUGGGUCACACUGUCUUUAGAGACUGAAAUCAUAGUCCACGUAAUCUAUAUAUCUAGUGCAUUAAAGCUAUUGCUCUUAGCCAAAAAAUAGCUUCAAAAAUGCUUUCUACUUGCAGGAAUACAUCUUCCUAUCCAGAAGGCAGUCUGCUUUUUUUUUUUUUUUUUUUUUUUUUCCCUCUCCUUGCUUUGUAGUCUGCUUUAUUGCCUAAUCAAAACACAAUACUUAUCAUGAUGAAUAUAAAUUGAGUUGAGUAGAGUUUGAGUUUCAGUCUCCCAUGAGGGUUGUGAUAUUUCUGGUUAUACGUCACUGUCUCCAGUCAUUGUAUCAACCCAGGAAAAUCUCUCCCUUUUCAGCACCAAUGAAUUCAGUACACACUGUGAUAUAACAUAAUAAGGAACAGUUCAACACACUGAAACAAUCAUGUGAACCAACCGUUACAGAUCAAUCUCAAUUAAAAGAAAGCUGAAAUGCUCAUGCAUUUUUUUCUGAGAAGACAAAUGCCAAUGCUUUUUGGAGAAAUAGAAGCUCCAAAGGAAAGAACAGUUUGUAAGUUUUCAAGGAACUGUUGAUCUAAUGGUUUUAACCAGUUCUGGGUUCAGAAAUAAGAUACAAAUUCUUAAGGAAUUCUGAGAAAAUGACACUACUGAUAUACAAACUUUAAUUUAAUCCUGAGAAGUGUCAGCAUCGUGAAGUUCCGAGUUUAAUUGUGGGUUUAAUUUUAACGUUCAUUGUCAGCUUGAAGUGCUGCCAUGAGAGUUUCUGGUUUUUCGUAUUAAAUCACAUCACAGUCUAGAUAGCAAGAUACACCUUAAGGAUGCCGAUUGUAAAGAUGACUUCUAAAUCACAGAAUUACAGAAUCAUAGAGGUUGGAAGGGACCUCUGCAGGUCAUUUAGUCCUACCUGCUAAGGCAGGUUCCCUAGAGUAGGCUGCACAGAAAAGCAUCCAGGUGGGUUUUGAAUAUCAAAUGACAGUUUACUAAUGGGAGACUUUUAUGGAAAGCUAAAAAGGAGAGAGAGGUGCACUCUGACAUGUAAUGCUCCUCCACUGAAAUCCCAGCACACACAAAAAAUUGAUUUCAUUCCUAUCUCAGAAAGUCAUUUUGUGAAAGGAUUGCAUGAACCAUGUAACCUGGCACAGGAAAAGAUGUCUAUCCACCAAAGAAUGUAUUGAAAAGACACUGCUUAGUAGCUAGUUGUACAGUCUUAGAAUAAUUUCAGUUAGAAUGGACUACUGCUGUCACAAGGUUACUGGUGGCCCAAUCCACCAACCUGAGAUUCCUCUGAACAGCAGCCCAACCUUUCAAGCACAAGGACUGCUUCCCCCAUAUUUAGUUUGUCCACAAACUUGAUGGCAGUGAACUCUGUCUCAUCAUCCACGGAAUACACUAAACAUUACUAGUAUCAGUCUCAGUGGGAUAUUGGUAGUAAUUCUUUGAUACUGUGAUUCUAUUCUAUGAUUCUAUUCCAAUUGGCCAAGACCAGAUUUUGUACUGCUGAUCACAAUUCUAAGCCUGAUGGUCCAGCCAGUUUUCCAUCCACCUCAUCAAAUUCACUUCUCCAGUUCAUAUCUGUUUGUAUACUGUAUUGCUACUGGAGACAGUAAUUCAAGUCUUAUAAAAUCCACUGCUCGCCCUUAUCAACAAAAACAAACAUCUCAUCAUAAAAGGUGAUCAGGUUGUUUAGGAGUGAUGUAGCCUUGACAAAGCUGUGCUGGCUGUUCCCCAGUCAUCUCUUUCAUGUGCUUGAAAAUGGCUCCAAGAACAGUUUAUUCUAUAACUUUCACAGAGACUGAGGUCAGGCUGAACAUCUUUGUUAUCUGGAGUCUCCUUUUUUUUGCCUUUUUUCAGACAUCAGGAAUCUCCCAUAGCCCCUGUAACCUUUCCAAGAUGAUAGCCAGAGGCCUCACAAUGACAGCAGGGAGCUUUCUCAGCACUUUUGGACACAUCGUAUACAGAACUAGGGACUUGGGCUUAUCCAACUGGUUCAAGUCUAUUUCCCUAUACAACAGGUAAUGCUCACAGGCUUUGCUGCUAUGCUGGUAGGUGUGAAAGCAAAUUUUACCAGUAAAAACAGGCAAAAAGGUCACUGAGUACUUUCAUCUUUUUCAUAUCCUUUGUCAGUAGCUCCUCUGACCCGCUGAGCAGUGGGUCUACAUUUGCAAUAGCAUCUUUUGCUGCUAAUGUCCUCAUAGAUGUCUUAAAAAAAAUAAAUAAUAAUAAAAUCCGUAGCAAGUUUCAGCUUUCCUGAGUGUCUCUCUGUGUGCUCAAGUGAUGUCUUUAUGUUCCUCCUGGGCUGCCUGUUCCUGCACACCUGCUAUGUGUUUUCCUCUCACAUUUGAGCUCAGCCAGGUGUUCAUUCUUCAUCCACACUGGCCUUCUGCUACACUUGCCUGACUUUCUUCCUGCUGGGAGAUUUCUGUGCUUUGAGGAAGCUGUCUGUGAAGAUAAUCGGCUCUCUCCUGGCCUGGCCUGUUGGUAUUAGUAAAACCUCUCCUUCCAUAAAAACGGUGAGUUCAUGAAUAUGGUCAAAUUGUGUUGGGAAAACAGCAACCACAGAAAUUCAGAUGAAGUCAUACUUCCACAUGCCUGCAAGUAUCCUGACUGUGGUAAACAGGUGAGUCUUAAAAACCAAACCACAGCGCUGCCUGACAAAGUAUAUUGCUGUGGUGCUUUUCACUUUUCCUAGAUAUUUAUUCGAAAAUAUGAAAUUUAGAGUUUCUUCAGGUAAAAAUUAUAGUAUAGUGUGUCGUAGCAAAAUGUUACCAAGAGAGAAAAAUACCCAAUUGAGGUGGCUAACGCAGUACAAGGACUAUUCUUCAUCGUGAAUUGAAUUUGAAAGUAUAUUCCACUAGAGGGCUCUCUUCACACAUAAAAAGAAAACCCGACUUGUAGCAGUAUUAGAUCUUUUGUCAAUUCUGCGGGUUAUAGCAGGAUUUUGGUAUAAGUUAAGAAACGUUUUGCGGUGCAUCAUUAUGCCCAAUAAGACCUUGUUUGGAAUAUAUAAUUAGUCUUGUAACUUCAUUUUCAGAGGAAGCAUUCUGGUACACUGUUCUAGUUCUGGUUGGGGUAGCAUUAGUUUUUGUCAGAGUUGCUGUUAUGGUACUGCGUUUUGGGCUUAUGAUGAGAAUUAUGUUGAUAACACACUGAUAUUUUAGUUGCUGCUGAUGAAGUUGCAGGUUUUUCUGCUUCUUGUGCUGCCCUGCCAGCGAGGAGACUGAGGGUGCACAAGAAAUGGAAGGGAAAGAACCAGGACAGCUGACCCACAUAGUUAAAGGGAUAUUCCAUAUUCUGUGAUGUCAGAUUGAGACAUAAAAGUUGGGGAGAGUAGACCAGGGAGAGGAGGGAAGGGCUGAUGUUUCUUGGGGUCAGUCUGGGCAUCACUCAGUGGGAGGAGAGCAAUUGAAUCACUUAUUUUGUAUAUGUGCUAUUAUCUUUAUUACUGUUUUUAUUAUAAUUUUAUCUUCCUUUUCUGUCCUAUAAAGCUAUCUUAACACAUGAGUUUUAAUUUUAUCCAGUUCUCUCUUUCCCCAUCCCGCCUUUGGCAGGAGGAAUGAGCAGUGGCUGUGUGGUGCUUAGCUGCCUCCCAGCUUACACCAGAACAUCCACCUGAAUUAUUUUUGGCCACUGAACACACACACACACACACACACACACACACACGCACACACAAAGGAUAAAUCUUGCUUAAAUAAAAAGUCCCAUCCAAAUUCCUGUCACCCUGACAUUAGUGGGACUCGCAUUAGACCACUACAGUUAUUCUGUAGUUUCUGCCAGUACCAUUGAAGCUUUUUCUUUUUUCUUUUUUUGGUGGAGGAUUAUUUUUACAUAAGAUGGCCUUUCUUAUGUGGAGGUAACCCUGACAUCUUCCUACCUGAUAGCCUAAAAACAUAUUUUACUAAAAUAGACCUAUGAUGAGCAAUGCUGUUUACAUCUCUGCCAGUAUCCAAACAGCAUCUGUUCCUUUUUUCACUUGAGAACUGUUUAAAACCUUGUGAUUAAGAAACGUUAUGAACAUUUAAUCAUUGUUUCUUUAGAACUGCAGCAGCACAUCAAGAACAGUGGAUGCGUUCACAAUACUGAAUGAAAUCAGUCUAUAUUUAUAAAGGGAAGUGCACGAGAAGUGCAGCUAUAGGAGGAUCUGCUCUGAUUAUAUCUCAGAAGAACAGAUUGAAUUCCAAUUGAAACCUUCAAUAAGGCCUGAGUUAUAGGCAAGAUUAUGAAAUCUCUGGUAUUCUACAUGCUCAGAACAAAAUCUCCAACAUGCCCACUUCAAUAGCUUGCGCAAAAUUAAACGAACAAAAACAUAACACUGGAUUUUGAAGGAUGUCCUUCUACAAAUUUCCACCACAAACCUUAUGUUUGAGUUCAGACUGUAAAAAACAUAUAUGAAAUGACAACAAACGUCUUUUUAGUACGGAAAUGUGCUCAUUUUAAGCAGUUGGAAAUACAUGAAAAAAUCAUGAAAGUAACUGAAAUACCUGCCAUUGCUCCCUUCCUAAAAAUCUAAGCCAAAAUGAUUGUACUGGAGUAUUUAAUUUGCUAAGGGAAAAAAAUAAAAGAGAAAAAAGUGUGUUGAACUUAGA
Long non-coding RNA from Gallus gallus (chicken), 5616 nucleotides. RefSeq lists it as uncharacterized. NCBI's taxonomy places the organism in Eukaryota, Metazoa, Chordata, Aves, Galliformes, Phasianidae. The transcript has 5 exons. The record is from RefSeq and is a predicted model, not a curated record.